This 996-nucleotide ribosomal RNA is filed under the name Eurystomella biperforata. RNAcentral's name for it is "SSU rRNA". It matches the Rfam family "Eukaryotic small subunit ribosomal RNA", at positions 1 to 973 of the family's 1831-position model. Lineage: Eukaryota; Metazoa; Bryozoa; Gymnolaemata; Cheilostomatida; Eurystomellidae. The record is from RNAcentral.
AUCUGGUUGAUCCUGCCAGUAAUCAUAUGCUUGUCUCAAAGAUUAAGCCAUGCAUGUCUAAGUACAAGCCGCUUCAGCGGCGAGACUGCGGACGGCUCAUUAAAUCGGUUACGACUCCACUGGGGCCAGACUCACCCGUGGAUAACGUGCGGUAACUCCGGUGCUAAUACAUGCAACAAGGCUCCGACCCUGUCUUCGCGGGCGGGGGAAGGGCGCACUUAUUAGGCGAAAACCAAUGGCUCGCUUCGGCGGGCGUUGGUGGACGACACCCGAGUAAUUGCCGCCGAUCGCACGGCCUCUGCGCCGGCGACGCCUACACUGAGUUUCUGAUCUAUCAUGCUGUCGACGGUUGGUGCUAUGCCAACCGUGGCGUUAACGGAUAACAGAGAAUCUGGGUUCGAUUCUGGAGAGGCCGCAUGAGAAACGGCGACCACUUCCAAGGAAGGCAGCAGGCACGCAAAUUACCCACUUCGGACACCGAGAGGUAGUGACGAACAAUACCGAUGCGGCGCACUUACGUGUCGCCGUAAUCGGAAUGAGUACACUUCAAAUCCUUUAACGAGGAUCCACUGGAGGGCAAGCCUGGUGCCAGCAGCCGCGGUAAUUCCAGCUCCAGCAGCGUAUAUUUAUAUUGCUGCGUUUAAAAAGCUCGUAGUUGAAGCGUCAGACGCGGGAGGGCGGACGGCCGCACUGGUCGCUCUCGCCCGACCGAGCCAGGCGCAGAGGGCGCGCGUCGCUUGCACUUUACCGUGUGAGCGCGCCGCCGCUGCACGUUCACCUUGAAGAAAUUGAACCGCUUAGAGGGGGCGAGCAGCUUGAACAGCUCAGCAUGGUAUGAUGGAACAUGGGCUCGUACUCAUUUUGUUGGUUAGAGAGUCGGCGAGCCAAUGAUUAACAGGGACUGCCGGGGGCAUUAGUACUCGGACGGGAGAGGUGAAAUUCAAGGAUCGUCCGAAGACUCCCUACUGCGAAAGCAUUUGCCAAGAAUGUUUUCAU